This is a long non-coding RNA of Camelus dromedarius (Arabian camel), 673 nucleotides long. RefSeq lists it as uncharacterized. The record is from RefSeq and is a predicted model, not a curated record. The transcript has 4 exons. Lineage: Eukaryota; Metazoa; Chordata; Mammalia; Artiodactyla; Camelidae.
UCUAUUUUCUUUAUGCUGUUAACCUUAGGCGGGGAGACUGGGGGAUCUUCAUUUAUAUUUUAAAAUUUGAUUCACUCUGCAGUUUGUCUCCUGUCUAUGUAUCCUUUUGAGAAACCGUUUAUGAGUGAUCAUUCUUCCAUCAGAUUGAACAGGAUCCAGGGGGAAGUACCAAGCCUGUCCCAUCGGCCAUCCUGUGUGUCAUGUCCUGUGACCCAGUGGAUGCUCAGCAUCCUCCAGCUGAAGAAACAGAUUGCCUUAGGUACAUGAAAGGUGAGGACACCUACUAUCCCCAUGGAGCCCAGGUGGGCCUGGGAGUCUGCUGUUUGUACAGCCGGUGGGCUCGUGUUGCUUUGGGCAUCCCUGUGCCUGAAUUCCUGCAGUACACUCGGUGUGCAUUCCAUGGUGCAUCCUCACCUAGAAUUGAGUGGAAGCAAGUCCAUUUCAGAAGGGACAUAACUGAAGAGGAAUGGCUUUCCAGACUCUGAAGGGCAGAGAAAGCACCAGCCUGGGUUAGAGAAAGAGAACAGCAUCUCUGAGCCCGUCCUGGGUGACCUCACAGAGAUCACUCUAGUGGCCCAGGCUAGUGACCGGGAACAUGUACCUUCCUGCAGCCAACCCCAGACGUCCACUGAUGCAUCAUAUACUGGCAAAUAUGUGAGUUCAUGUGCAUUGG